AUUGAACGCUGGCGGCAGGCCUAACACAUGCAAGUCGAGCGAGGGGCGGACGGGUGUGUAAUGUCUGGGAAUUGCGCAGGAGAGGGAGAUAACAGUGGGAAAGUACUGCUAAUCGCACAUACGCUUGUAUUGCACAGGUGGGAAUAGCUAGUGGGUGGGGUAAUGGCUCACCAAGGCGACGAUCCCUAGCUGGUCUGAGAGGAUGAUCAGCCACACUGGAACUGAGACACGGUCCAGACUCCUACGGGAGGCAGCAGUGGGGAAUAUUGCACAAUGGGGGAAAGCCUGAUGCAGCCAUGCCGCGUGUGUGAAGAAGGCCUUCGGGUUGUAAAGCACUUUCAGCGAGGAGGCGUUACUCGCAGAAGAAGCACCGGCUAACUCCGUGCCAGCAGCCGCGGUAAUAC
This 404-nucleotide ribosomal RNA is filed under the name uncultured bacterium. RNAcentral's name for it is "partial 16S ribosomal RNA". It matches the Rfam family "Bacterial small subunit ribosomal RNA", at positions 30 to 526 of the family's 1533-position model. The record is from RNAcentral.